This 459-nucleotide ribosomal RNA is filed under the name uncultured bacterium. RNAcentral's name for it is "partial 16S ribosomal RNA". It matches the Rfam family "Bacterial small subunit ribosomal RNA", at positions 29 to 507 of the family's 1533-position model. The record is from RNAcentral.
ACGAACGCUGGCGGCGUGCUUAACACAUGCAAGUCGAGCGGUAAGGCCUCUUCGGGGGUACACGCGCGGCGAACGGGUGAGUAACACGUGGGUGACCUGCCCUCAGCUCUGGGAUAAGCCUGGGAAACUGGGUCUAAUACCGGAUAUGACCUUUCCUCGCAUGGGGUUUGGUGGAAAGUUUUUUCGGCUGGGGAUGGGCCCGCGGCCUAUCAGCUUGUUGGUGGGGUGAUGGCCUACCAAGGCGACGACGGGUAGCCGGCCUGAGAGGGCGACCGGCCACACUGGGACUGAGACACGGCCCAGACUCCUACGGGAGGCAGCAGUGGGGAAUAUUGCGCAAUGGGCGGAAGCCUGACGCAGCGACGCCGCGUGGGGGAUGACGGCCUUCGGGUUGUAAACCUCUUUCGACCCCGACGAAUUUGGACGGUAGGGGUAGAAGAAGCACCGGCCAACUACGUG